AGUGAAGUGCCUGAAAAAAAGGAAUAUCUUGAUAGGGUAGAUUAUGUGAAUUUCACCUUCAUUA
RNAcentral lists this transfer RNA (64 nucleotides) under Protochauliodes humeralis. Its description in RNAcentral is "tRNA-Ile". Lineage: Eukaryota; Metazoa; Arthropoda; Insecta; Megaloptera; Corydalidae. The record is from RNAcentral.